Molecule: non-coding RNA, 69 nt
Organism: Rattus norvegicus (Norway rat)
Lineage: Eukaryota; Metazoa; Chordata; Mammalia; Rodentia; Muridae
Source: Rfam
GGGGAUUUAGCUCAGUGGUAGAGCGCUUGCCUAGCAAGCACAAGGUCCUGGGUUCAGUCCCCAGCUCCG